UACGGAGGAUGCGAGCGUUAUCCGGAUUUAUUGGGUUUAAAGGGUGCGUAGGCGGGCUUUUAAGUCAGCGGUAAAAAUUCGGGGCUCAACCCCGUCCGGCCGUUGAAACUGGGGGCCUUGAGUGGGCGAGAAGAAGGCGGAAUGCGUGGUGUAGCGGUGAAAUGCAUAGAUAUCACGCAGAACCCCGAUUGCGAAGGCAGCCUUCCGGCGCCCUACUGACGCUGAGGCACGAAAGUGCGGGGAUCGAACAGG
This 252-nucleotide ribosomal RNA is filed under the name uncultured bacterium. Its description in RNAcentral is "partial 16S ribosomal RNA". It matches the Rfam family "Bacterial small subunit ribosomal RNA", at positions 524 to 776 of the family's 1533-position model. The record is from RNAcentral.